GCGCGGCGGCGCGGAGCCCUCCGCCGCCAGUUCCCUGCCGGUUCGAGAUCGCCACCGGUCCCCUCCGUGCCGUCAUCGUCCUUCCUGCUACCAGCUCCGUCCUCCGCCCUAUCUCCGCGGCAAUGUUCUGCUCCAUCCAUCGGCGCAAACAACCUAUAGAGUCAAGGAGUAGAAUACCAAAAUACGAGCUGCAAAAGUGACUCAAAUUCCUCUUCCCUCACAAGUAACUACACUGAGGUGGAGGCUGGCCUGCAGCUUGUGUGCGCGGAGGCUCGUGUGCGCGGAGGAGAAGCACACUUCACCGACAAGUUGUUCCCGCUAUCCUCGCUGCCACUGCCAGUGACGGAACUUGGUGUGGACAACAUGCUGGAAAGAGAGUGUUCAUCCCUAUGAUCCCUUUGGCGCCCUCGGAGGACAUUUCACUUCCUUUCAAGUUGAAGAGGAAACAGUUCCCUGGAUCGAUCCUGGAGAGCCCCUUCCGUAACCAAGUCCCCUCCCCACUCGGAGUCCUCCGCCACUGACGCACGGGUAAGCGCCAGAGAUGCGGUGCAUCCACGCGGUUCAACGAGCUGCCGCUGUCGUAGAUAACCAAGACGUACACGGAGAUAAGCAAGAUUCAGUGUGCUGCACUGCCCCCACGCGCUCUGAGGGUGCGAUGUCCCCGACGUGUCCAAGACAAGGUCCAGGAAGACCCUCGCCUUCGUUAUCCUGGUAAAGUUUUGCUGUUAUUUUACUCCCCCAAUUCCACUUACAGGGGAACAAAGAGUAAGAGUAAUCCUGGGGAUAAUGGUAUUUUCAUUUGUGCUUCUAAUUAAUAGUAUUACUGUCAGCUCCAUCCUUAGAGCAAUUGACGAAAAUGACUAUAUCACCUAGAUUGAUAGACAAUAAUUAUGCACAAACAUGGCAAUGUCCACAAAACAACUGCCGCUGCAUUGCUAAGAUGCAGCUUGAUUUGGCCUCAAUAUUUUGAUUUUUGAGUAUUACUUUCUUCCACUCCUCUGCAAAAUACUCCUAUGUUCUAGCUUCUCAAGCCUCUACUCUCAACCAGUCCAGUUGUCCAGGUGUUUUUUUUUGAUAAAUAUUUAUUUUGUUUCCUUUAUCUAUCGGUUUCAAUUCUGUAUCCGCCGUUCUCAGGAUAACUGUGUGAUGUUGCCAUGGGAUCCAAAAUAACUAUUUUUUACUGAAGCUACAGACUUAAGCAGUUUCUACCAUGUGUACUGUAUUUUGAGUUAAACCUGAACGGCUUUCGUCGCAUGAUACACCACAGUGCUUUCAUGUUUUUAGGAGGGUAGUUCUUCCCUGUGUUAUGAAUAUGAUUACUAUGGUGUCACUAUACAUUUCUUAUAUGGUUAGUUCUUAAUUUUCUUCAUUAUUCCAAACAUGUGUACCCACUAGGAUUUCAUUUCUUAUUAUUUACCUUCAAGCAGUAUAUAUUACUGUUGUUUGUUGUCCACCUUGAUCCUUCGCUGAUAUUUUUCCUAGGAAACUUCACAUGGAAUUAGGAUCAGUUAAUAAGAUUCUGAUUUGUUGGUGUUGAUUUGCAGUAAGAGGAAAUGUACUAUUGUUCUCAUCAAUUUCUUUCAUACCAUGUGUAUGGUUAGUUCUUAAUAUUCUUCAUUAUUCAAAAUACUUGUACCCACUAGGAUUCAUUUAUUAUUUUUUACCGUCAAGCACUAUAUAUAUUACUGUUGUUUGUUGUAUACCUUGAUCCUUCGCUGAUGUUUUUCCUAGGCAACUUCACAUGGAAUUAGGAUCACUUAAUAAGAUUCUGGUAUAUUCUGCAAAUUUUCUUGCUUUAUGCAUGAACCUAUCAUCAAGAAUUGGAUCUCUUAUAUG
Triticum aestivum (bread wheat) is the source of this 1836-nucleotide long non-coding RNA. RefSeq lists it as uncharacterized. The transcript has 5 exons. NCBI's taxonomy places the organism in Eukaryota, Viridiplantae, Streptophyta, Magnoliopsida, Poales, Poaceae. The record is from RefSeq and is a predicted model, not a curated record.